Molecule: ribosomal RNA, 552 nt
Filed under: Dacrymyces stillatus
Lineage: Eukaryota; Fungi; Basidiomycota; Dacrymycetes; Dacrymycetales; Dacrymycetaceae
Description: eukaryotic LSU rRNA
Rfam family: Eukaryotic large subunit ribosomal RNA
Source: RNAcentral
AGGAAAAGAAACUAACAAGGAUUCCCCUAGUAACUGCGAGUGAAGCGGGAAAAGYUCAAAUUUAAAAGCCUUCGGGCGUUGUAAUCUGUAGAAGUGUUAUCGGUCGUUGCCUCGGAUAAGUCUCUUGGAACAGAGUGUCAAAGAGGGUGAGAAUCCCGUUUAUGUCGAGCUACCAACGUCUAUGUGAUACACUUUCAAAGAGUCGAGUUGUUUGGGAAUGCAGCUCAAAAUGGGUGGUAAACUCCAUCUAAAGCUAAAUAUUGGCGAGAGACCGAUAGCGAACAAGUACCGUGAGGGAAAGAUGAAAAGCACUUUGGAAAGAGAGUUAAACAGUACGUGAAAUUGUUGAAAGGGAAACGCUUGGAGUCAGUCGCGUUGCAUGGACUCAGCCUCACGGUGUAUUUCUAUGCAACGGGUCAACAUUAGUUUUAGGCGCGGAAUAAGGAUUUGGGGAAUGUGGCAACCUCGGUUGUGUUAUAGCCCUUUGUCGUACGCUGCGCCCGGGACUAAGGUCUGCUUAAAGGAUGUUGACGAAAUGGCUCUAAGCGACCC